Molecule: ribosomal RNA, 618 nt
Filed under: uncultured bacterium
Lineage: Bacteria
Description: bacterial SSU rRNA
Rfam family: Bacterial small subunit ribosomal RNA
Source: RNAcentral
ACACAUGCAAGUCGAACGAUAAGCUGGACUUCGAUUCAGUGGACAGUGGCAGACGGGUGAGUAACGCGUGGGAACGUGCCCUUCGGUACGGAAUAGCCCCGGGAAACUGGGUGUAAUACCCGUAUACGACCUUUUGGUGAAAGAUUUAUCGCCGAAGGAUCGGCCCGCGUUAGAUUAGCUUGAUGGUGGGGUAAAGGCCUACCAUGGCGACGAUCUAUAGCUGUUCUGAGAGGAAGAUCAGCCACACUGGGACUGAGACACGGCCCAGACUCCUACGGGAGGCAGCAGUGGGGAAUAUUGGACAAUGGGCGCAAGCCUGAUCCAGCCAUGCCGCGUGGAUGAAGAAGGCCCUAGGGUUGUAAAAUCCUUUCGCUAGGGAAGAUAAUGACGGUACCUAGACAAGAAGCCCCGGCUAAUUUCGUGCCAGCAGCCGCGGUAAUACGAAAGGGGCUAGCGUUGUUCGGAAUUACUGGGCGUAAAGCGCGCGUAGGCGGCAAUGUAAGUUGGGGGUGAAAUCCCGGAGCUCAACUCCGGAACUGCCUCCAAAACUACAUAGCUAGAGGAUGUGAGAGGAUAGUGGAAUUCCGAGUGUAGAGGUGAAAUUCGUAGAUAUUCGGA